AUUUAUAUAGUAUAAAAAUUAUAAUUGAUUUCCAAUCAAAAGAUCUAAUAAAUUUUAGUAUAAAUA
Molecule: transfer RNA, 66 nt
Filed under: Eurysternus hamaticollis
Lineage: Eukaryota; Metazoa; Arthropoda; Insecta; Coleoptera; Scarabaeidae
Description: tRNA-Gly
Source: RNAcentral